This 253-nucleotide ribosomal RNA is filed under the name uncultured bacterium. Its description in RNAcentral is "partial 16S ribosomal RNA". It matches the Rfam family "Bacterial small subunit ribosomal RNA", at positions 524 to 776 of the family's 1533-position model. The record is from RNAcentral.
UACGUAGGGUGCAAGCGUUAAUCGGAAUUACUGGGCGUAAAGCGUGCGCAGGCGGUUCUAUAAGACAGAUGUGAAAUCCCCGGGCUCAACCUGGGAACUGCAUUUGUGACUGUAGAGCUGGAGGGCGGCAGAGGGGGAUGGAAUUCCGCGUGUAGCAGUGAAAUGCGUAGAUAUGCGGAGGAACACCGAUGGCGAAGGCAAUCCCCUGGGCCUGCACUGACGCUCAUGCACGAAAGCGUGGGGAGCAAACAGG